Mustela lutreola (European mink) is the source of this 3107-nucleotide long non-coding RNA. RefSeq lists it as uncharacterized. NCBI's taxonomy places the organism in Eukaryota, Metazoa, Chordata, Mammalia, Carnivora, Mustelidae. The record is from RefSeq and is a predicted model, not a curated record. The transcript has 3 exons.
CCACCUGAGUGUAGGCGCUGGGAAGCAGCAGCCACAAAUAAAAAGGUUCCAGGAAGAUGACAGGGGCAUGGGAGGCAGCUAGGGUCACUUCUGACCUAGGCUGGGACACUGUGGUCCUAGAAGACACCAGGUUCCAGCCCCUGAAAUCCUACUUGUGGGACUCCAGUGAGCACAGGAGACAACGGGGACUUCUGGACCACCCCCUGAGGUGGAAGAGUGCCGCCCUUGGGAAGGAGGGUAGCCCUGAACCCCACCCCUCAUUCGAGCCCGGCCGCCAGACCUGGCACACCCUCCAUAGCAGCCGACGCCCGCCUCCUGGCCCCGCCCACGAUGGCCCCGCCCACGAUGGCCCCGCCCCGCGAUGGAUCCGCCCGUGCUGGCCCCGCCCCACACCUGUUCCUCGCCAGAGCGGGUGGCUCAGCGCCGCGGACGCAGCUUGCAGCCCCGACGCGCUCCACCAGACCCCACUACCGGAAUGAGGAAACUGAGGCUCUGCGAGAAAGUAAUGUCAGCGCCAUACCAGCAGGGGCUGGAUGGGACUGCGGGGUUUCCCAAGCACUCCCCACCUUUAGUGAGCGCCAGCAUUCCACCUUCACGUCACUUCCUGCUACAGGUUGAUCGGAGAAACUGAGGCCCAAAGCAUCGGCAGCCCUUGCCAGGCCAGGUCUCCCGGUGCAAGAAUGGCUCCAAGGGACCUGCACCCAGUGUGCACAGACCCGCACCUCUGAGCCCUCUGGAUAUGCUCUUCAGGCGAGCUGAGUAGGAGUGCAUGGAGCAGCUGGGAGCCCAGGACAGGACCAGCCCUGUCCCCACCGCUGGAGCAGCAGGUGGUCGUGGCUCCCUAGAUCAAAGGGCUGGCAGGGAGGGGGGUUGGGGGAGGCACAAUGUCUUCCCCGCUUGCUCACUCCAGCACCCAUCAGGGUGCAAAGUGAGCCCUUGGGCCAGCAGGACGGUGGUCCUGGGGACCAUCACUCACUCCUGAGCAGCGAGGGUCUCACAUGGCACACAGGAUCGCCCUUGCAUAGGCUUCGGAGAGCAAACUGAAAUUGUCCCCUACCUGUCCCUGGACCUCAGGCAGGCACUGGCUCUGACCCCCUCCCACCCCCACUCCGCGUCUGCCUCAGACAUUUGCUUCUUUUGAAUUCAGUCACUAUGGCAGGAUUUAUGUGAUCAGAAAGUAAAUAGUUUUAAACUGGGCGGGGGACGCCCACCCCAGGUGGUGACUGCACCUGCUACCCCCUUCUUAUUGAGGUUUCUUCUCAGCCGCUGCCCCAACAGCUCAGCAAAGUCACAAGGCAAAAAGAAGUGGGGGGUGCUGGCAGCUCACAUCCAUAAUUAACAGAGGUCCUAGGAGUCCGAAAGAAGGGGGUCAACACGCCUGUCAUCAGUAAAGGAGGAAUCCAACUUGCGGGCCGCUCAAUUCUGACCAGGCCCAGAACUUCACAUUUCAUGGGUCCAAGCAGCACAAUCCAAGAUCCUAAGCCCUGUGUGGGCCUGCCAGUGGAGAGGGCCGCCCACCCCCCCACAGGGCACCUCCCCGGGCUUCUGGUCCUGCUCCCCUGCACUUCCUACUAUUUCCCCACUAGAACAUCAGCUCUUAAGGAUGGGGCCCCACCUGGCCAUGGUGCCGGGCAUCCAGCAGGUACUCCAGAAAUGCACUUAAAGCCUGACUCCAUGAGCUGAACAAAGACGGGUUGGAGGCAGGAGGGGCGUGGGGUGCCAUGAAGGGUGGCCCGUGUGGCUGGAGCUGACCAUACAAAGGGACUGGGUGAUGAGGGGCCUGAAUGCUGAGGAGCAAGGACGUUCUCCCACGUUCUCACACCACCAAGGCCCACCAUUCAUUCCUUCACUCUCUCAUUCCUGUAACACACAUCUCCUGAACGCCGGCUGCGUGGCCCACCCAGAUCUAGAUUACAGGGAAGGUAGAGGGGGGCCCUGCCCCAACAGAGGUUCCACUGAUAUUAACCAAAUGAAGCGUGUAAGAGGCUAGAGACCUCCUGGAGAGGCUGCCCAUGCCCAAGGGGGCCCCACCAUCCUCCCAACCCGGGUCGCACCCUUCUGCCAUCUCAUUCCAUGGCAAAUCAGGCUGGCCUGUUCGAGGGUGACGGGUGACAGAGUCAGCUAGGUGCCCUCUGAGGCCGGGUGGUAAGGAGCACUGUGGCUCCCCUCCUGGGCCGCCUGCUCUAGAGGAGGAGCGGUCCCCGUGUGCUGAGGACACUCAGGCCGCGCUGCAGUGAACCCUGUGCCGGCAGGAGCUGAGACCCACAGCCAGGAGCUGGCACCUGUCCUAGAAGCGCGUCCCUGGCCCCAGCAAGCCUUGAGAGAAUGCCCCAGCCUCACGAGACCCUGAGCCAGAGCCACCCUGCCCCCACCUCACACAGAGCGGUAACAGGUGCUAAUUAUUUCUGAGCCACUACAUUUCGGGGUCACUGGUUAUGUGGCAGCGUAAAAGGAACAUGCCAGACAUCCGAGUGGAUGGCCGGCCGAAGCAAGGGAGAGCUCCACAUGAUCGCUGAGGAGGGCGUGGGGAUUUCUGAUUGCUCCAUCUGAAAAUAGCCUCUGUAUACACCAAACAAUUGAGAGCAUGGUCUCCCAGAUGUCUGCACACCCAUGUUCACAGCAGCCGAGAGGUAGAAGCCAUCCAGUGUCCACCGCCAGAUGGAAGGACAUACAGAUGUGGCAUAGAUACACGGUGGGUUCAGCCUUAAAAAGAAAGGGUGUUCUGACACCUGCUGUGACAGCUGUGGGCUUUAGGGGAACAGGAUGGCUUUAAAGGCGUCCACCCCUGCCUGGUCCUCCUCCCCCACAGAAGGGGAGCCCCACUGCCCUCCUCGUUGGGUGGGAUGCAGCGGCCGUGCACUGGCAUGACUUCCCAGGCCCCUGAAAGGCAAGGCUUGCACUCAGGACUCAUCAUGGACACUGGCCACCAGGAUGCAAGGAGACCCAGGCCACACGAGACAGCCGCCACCAGUGAGGUCUCUGCUGACAGCUGCAGUGUCCAGAGGUGUGAGCCGGCCAGCCUCCACGUGGCCUGGUGCCAGCCAGCGGCUGACCACGCUGCCCAGCACAGCCCCCCAAGCCCAGAGCAUUGAGCAGGAGUGAAAAGA